CCUACGGGGGGCAGCAGUGGGGAAUAUUGGGCAAUGGAGGCAACUCUGACCCAGCAACGCCGCGUGAGUGAUGAAGGUCUUCGGAUUGUAAAGCUCUUUAAGCGGGGACGCAGAAAGCGACUGUACCCGCAGAAUAAGCCUCGGCUAACUACGUGCCAGCAGCAGCGGUAAUACGGAGGAGGCAAGCGUUAUCCGGAAGGACUGGGCGUAAAGGGUGCGUAGGUGGUUUGGCAAGUUGGUAGGGUAAUCGCGGGGCGCAACCUCGGUGCUACUACCAAAACUGUUGAACUUGAGUGCUGGAGGGGUGAAUGGAAGUCCCAGUGUAGCGGUGGAAUGCGUAGAUAUUGGGAAGAACACCAGCGGCGAAGGCGAUUCACUGGACUGUAACUGACACUGAGGCACGAAAGCGUGGGGAGCAAACAGGAUUAGAUACCCCAGUAGUC
This 443-nucleotide ribosomal RNA is filed under the name uncultured bacterium. RNAcentral describes it as "partial 16S ribosomal RNA". It matches the Rfam family "Bacterial small subunit ribosomal RNA", at positions 338 to 795 of the family's 1533-position model. The record is from RNAcentral.